RNAcentral lists this ribosomal RNA (128 nucleotides) under uncultured eukaryote. RNAcentral describes it as "partial small subunit ribosomal RNA". It matches the Rfam family "Eukaryotic small subunit ribosomal RNA", at positions 1651 to 1777 of the family's 1831-position model. The record is from RNAcentral.
CCCUGCCAUUUGUACACACCGCCCGUCGCUGCUACCGAUUGGAUGAUCCGGUGAAAUCCUCGGAUAAUGAUAAAUACUUUACUUUGUAAAGUUUAUCGUUAGAAGUUGAUUAAACCUUAUCAUCUAGA